GAUGAACGCUAGCUACAGGCUUAACACAUGCAAGUCGCGGGGCAGCAUGGGGGUUGCUUGCAAUCCCCGAUGGCGACCGGCGCACGGGUGAGUAACGCGUAUCCAACCUGCCCUUCACCACGGGAUAACCCGGCGAAAGUCGGACUAAUACCGUAUGUUGUCCAUUGACGGCAUCCGAUUUGGACGAAAGGCUUGGCGGUGAGGGAUGGGGAUGCGUCCGAUUAGCCAGACGGCGGGGUAACGGCCCACCGUGGCUACGAUCGGUAGGGGUUCUGAGAGGAAGGUCCCCCACACUGGAACUGAGACACGGUCCAGACUCCUACGGGAGGCAGCAGUGAGGAAUAUUGGUCAAUGGGCGUAAGCCUGAACCAGCCAAGUGGCGUGCAGGAUGACGGCCCUAUGGGUUGUAAACUGCUUUUAUGCGGGGAUAAAGUGGCCCACGUGUGGGCUUUUGCAGGUACCGCAUGAAUAAGGACCGGCUAAUUCCGUG
RNAcentral lists this ribosomal RNA (490 nucleotides) under uncultured bacterium. RNAcentral describes it as "partial 16S ribosomal RNA". It matches the Rfam family "Bacterial small subunit ribosomal RNA", at positions 28 to 507 of the family's 1533-position model. The record is from RNAcentral.